AGAGUUUGAUCCUGGCUCAGAUUGAACGCUGGCGGCGUGCCUAACACAUGCAAGUCGAGCGGUAACAGGUGUAGCAAUACAUGCUGACGAGCGGCGAACGGGUGAGUAAUGCUUCGGAAUCUACCCUCUAGUGGGGAAUAACCAGCCGAAAGGUUGGCUAAUACCGCAUACGUCCUACGGGAGAAAGCAGGGGAUCGUAAGACCUUGCGCUGAUGGAUGAGCCGAAGUCGGAUUAGCUAGUUGGUGAGGUAACGGCUCACCAAGGCGACGAUCCGUAGCUGGUCUGAGAGGACGACCAGCCACACUGGGACUGAGACACGGCCCAGACUCCUACGGGAGGCAGCAGUGGGGAAUUUUGGACAAUGGGGGCAACCCUGAUCCAGCCAUGCCGCGUGUGUGAAGAAGGCCUUCGGGUUGUAAAGCACUUUCGGACGGAACGAAAUCGCGCGAGUUAACAGUCCGCGUGGAUGACGGUACCGUAAGAAGAAGCACCGGCUAACUACGUGCCAGCAGCCGCGGUAAUACGUAGGGUGCGAGCGUUAAUCGGAAUUACUGGGCGUAAAGUGUGCGCAGGCGGCUUCGCAAGUCGAGUGUGAAAUCCCCGAGCUUAACUUGGGAAUUGCGCUCGAAACUACGGAGCUGGAGUGUGGCAGAGGAAGGUGGAAUUCCACGUGUAGCGGUGAAAUGCGUAGAGAUGUGGAGGAACACCGAUGGCGAAGGCAGCCUUCUGGGCCAACACUGACGCUCAUGCACGAAAGCGUGGGGAGCAAACAGGAUUAGAUACCCCCGUAGUCC
RNAcentral lists this ribosomal RNA (795 nucleotides) under uncultured bacterium. RNAcentral's name for it is "bacterial SSU rRNA". It matches the Rfam family "Bacterial small subunit ribosomal RNA", at positions 8 to 796 of the family's 1533-position model. The record is from RNAcentral.